AUCUGGGCGGCGGAAUUCAGGAUGGCUGGCGUGCCUCGCAGUACGUCGGUCGUUUGAUAUAUCCGUCGCCAACUGAACGCAGACGUCGCGACCUGUUCGCGGUCGGUCCUUGCUCGGAGGAGCCGCGUUCGAGUUCGUUGUGUGCGCGUUUCGGCGUGUCACACGGUGAAGGCGUGGAUCUCUGGCUGACCAUCGGACAGUAUUCGUAACAGUGUCCGGUGUCGUCGUCUCGUACGCGCGGCAUCGGUACUGGUCAGCGACGAAUUCUUCGGGCCUCUUUCCGACCCGUCUUGAAACACGGACCAAGGAGUCUAACAUGCACGCGAGUCGCGGGGUAUCGAGCGUACUUCGGUGCGUUCGUUAUGUUGCGAAACCCGUACAUGUUGAAGGCGUAAUGAAAGUGAAUGGGGAAGAUGGUGUUCCGAGUACACGUUCCGCGAUCGUCGGUAUCGCGGCCGGGCACCCGCAUUCCCAGGCGGUCUCAACGGCCCGUCGUUGAUGCGGACAGUCGUCUCUCGGGGCGGCUGUCGGUCGACGAUGAACCGA
This 546-nucleotide ribosomal RNA is filed under the name Dynaspidiotus degeneratus. Its description in RNAcentral is "partial 28S ribosomal RNA". Lineage: Eukaryota; Metazoa; Arthropoda; Insecta; Hemiptera; Diaspididae. The record is from RNAcentral.